UUGUAAAUGUAAAUUUGUAUAUAUUGAUUAGAUAUAUUGGAAUAAAAUGAUUGUCAUACUAUUGAUAUUAUUAGUUACAAAUUGAAUGGUAUUUAAUUUGUCCAGUCUGAUUACUGUUAAACUGACCAGUGUACCUGUUUGUCUAUGUUACCUUGAUUUCUAUAUUUAGAAUCUUAAUUAAGGCUAUAUUUCUUAUUGAUAGUGAUUUUGGUCACAUGUUCUUUUUGGAGGGAAAAUUCUAUUGUUCUGGACACUCUUAUUUCAACUGUCAUAGUGAGAAGAUAGAUUUCACAAUUUUGGAGUGUGCAAAUGGUCUUAUAUGAAUUAUUGUAUAGUUAUUGCUGAAUCUUUUGGGAAUUCAUAUUACUACUUUACAGGUUAAUAUUUGAUGUACAUGUAGCCAAUACACAUAUGAAGUCUUGUGACCUUCAAACUAGCACUUGAGGGUCUUUAUACGAGACAACCGUUUACUAAGACCUUUAAUAAAGAAUCCAUAAAACUACAACCGAGUCUUUAUGAUGCCCAUUUCCACCCGGUUUCAUAUACAAGCUUUGUUACUCGGCGACGAUGGAAAACUAACAUGAAUGUAUUGAAUAAUAAAUGUAUUACACUAACCAUGACUUAUUUUGGCUCUAAACUGGUGAAAAUACACAAUAUUAUUUGUCCCGCAAUUUUGUCGCAAGUAAACCCUGAGUUAUCUCCCAUAUAAAUAAAUCUAUGGCAGCCCGCAAUACCAA
This is a long non-coding RNA of Mytilus trossulus (common blue mussel), 737 nucleotides long. RefSeq lists it as uncharacterized. NCBI's taxonomy places the organism in Eukaryota, Metazoa, Mollusca, Bivalvia, Mytilida, Mytilidae. The record is from RefSeq and is a predicted model, not a curated record. The transcript has 3 exons.